UGUUUUGUGAGAAAUUCAUGGCAAUUAAACAGAAGCUAUUGUUUGUUCUAAAUGCUGGAUCUAUAACAAUUAAUCCAUAAAUUAAAUAUUUAAAAAAGAGUGAGGGUAUUUCUUGAAUGUAACCUUGGGGGGUGGUAUUAUAAAAAAAACAUAACGGUAAAUAUUUAAUAUUUUAUGUAUACCGAAUGUCCCCAUUAGAGAGUUUCACUUUAUUACAACAAAUAACAUGAUGGAUGAUUCUAAUAAAUGGGAAAAUAUAUGUAUUUUAUUUUACUUUAAAUGUAUUAAAUUGUUCCACGGGGAUGCUCAUUGAAACACACACACACGCACACACACACAUGCAUAACACGGACGGCAUUGUGCAAGCGGUUAAAAAGUACCACAACAAUAAGUCAUACAUUUUAUUGCAUUCAUAUUCAGCAUAUGUCCUGCAUGUGCAUGCAUGGAUACACAUCUCACGUCCUUCUACACACUAAAUUGUGAGCCCACACAUGCACACACACACACACACACACACACACACACCAUGAAGAACCCCUAAGCCUGCAAGGAGAGAGAGGGGAGAAGAGGACAGGUUAUUGGCCCGUUAAACGCAGAAAGUGCUGAUGCUUGCCAUCGAUUGAUAUCUUUCAUCUGUUCGAUGGAGCGAAUGCAUGCAUAAUCACAAUUACAGAUGGGUCUGAUCUUUAAUCUAAGGCCAAUUCAUUUUUGUCGAUGCCUUUCAUUUAUAUUCAUUAGCUCUUUGAACCUGAAACGGUAGAUUUCCUCUCACGCUGAUAAGGUCAGAUGCUGCUUGCUGUCACAUAACUUUUGGAGUGCAGAGCUCCACCCCCUCUUCGCUACACGCCCUGUUUAUCCAUCCAACCAUCCAUAAAAACAUCCGCAUCUCGGGAAGGUUUCCGUGCCCUUUGCUCGAGGUUACAGAGCUGAACACCUGAACUAAACUUUGUGGGGGAAAUGAUCUGCGUCAUCUUUUUUGACUGGCUCAUUGUGAAUAUCUCUGUUAAAGUCUUUCUUUGGUUUGAAAGUAGUUUCAUCAUAAAAUGCACGACCUCAUAAUAUCCAAAGAGAGCAGAGGAGAACCCAUAAAUUAGCACACGCGUUACUCUUUCAUCAGUGUUGCCAAAGUAAGCCACUGUUUUCUGAAGUGAGGGGAAGCAGAUGAGUAACACUGAGCAUUCAAUCGUUUGCCAACGGGGAGGAAAAAGAAAAAGCUAAAUGAGAGCCCUUGAGGUGUCGCCACUAGUUGAACUCAGCUUUUGCAAAUUGUGUGCGACAGAUGUCUUUGUAACCUUGACGUUUUGAGACGCGCAACAGCAACGUGUCUGUGUUGCUUCCACAGUUGUAAUUUUAGCCUCUGAAAUUGACAGUUUGUGUGACAGAAACAUUUGUGUCUUUCGAUGCUGUCAAGUUGUCAGAGAGCACGGACAUAUUCACCAAGAUCUCUCCGGAGCGGCGACUUGCAAACCCCCCUUUUUGUCUCAUGGCCUUUUCCCUGAAGCUAAACUCAAGCGUGCCGCAUUUUGACAUAUGGGGACUAUUUUUCUCCUGACCUCUGAUUGUCUCGAAGCCAUCACAGCUAGAGUGGUUGAUAAUAUUGACAGAUGCGUUGGGCAGUGAUGAUUGGGCUGUUGAAAAGAUGCUACGCGGGGUAAUAGGAUGGAAAAACACCUCAGGCUAUGAGCAAUAACAACUUUUGAUUGCAUUACAAAAAAAAGAGAAUUGUUCACUGGAUUGUGAAAAAAAUAACCACACACGAUAUCUCAGGACUGCAUUUGAGUAAUUUUCCCAGUGAGGUAGCACGCUGAUUUAGAACGAUAAUGCAACAAAAGGUUCUUUCACAAUUAUCCUCAAAGACGUCUUCUACCAUGCAAACAGAGAUGAUCUUGACUUGACAGGGAAUAUAAGAACAGUCUAAAUAAAGGAUGUGUGUAUUUUUCUAUCUGAAAAGUCAUUUUCCUCAGCGUACCAAACAUAAUGAUGACAAUCAUCCACUGAUGAAAACCAUCAUGAGUUCGACAGCUGGAAAUCUUCUCUGUGAUGGAGCAGCGUUGACGAAAUCACCUGAGACUUUUGAGGAUGUUCUACUUUCACUGAGCCACGACGUCAUAGAGAUCAGAUCCAGCGAUGAAACAGAACGAAUCAUUUCCCUCUCUUUAAACUACUUUGGCGGACGUCUAUCCUCUCAUGUGUUCUUCCCCCACAUUUAAAGCCGAGUCCUGUCUGACUCAUAGAGAAACAAGCUUGUUGCAAACAAUUUGUCAGUUUCGGGUUCUGAAGACGUCAAUCCGUCUUUGUCAACAGAUGUGGGAACGGACUCGGCACAUCACCAAUUAGACGACAUCAGCAGGGGGGGCCGGGUGCCACUUGUUGUGGCAGGAGAAAUUAAUUACUACAUCUAGCCAAGCCGAACAAUAGUCCAUAAUUCUAAUCAUCACUUUUCACGUCAUCGUGACUCCUUCACAAGUCACGCGAAUGACUUAUCAGGAUUUGCAUCUUGCAAACAUUGUCCCUGUGAGUUGACAGCACCGGUGCUCGGAUUCACCCUGAGGUUUGAUUGCCACUUUAAUUACUGUUUUUCUGAUUCAUUUGUCAGCUAAUUAGCCCUGAUUAUGUGACAAAAACAUUGGCUGAUUUUAAUCAUUUCACAACAUUAACCUUCUGGUUGUUAACACCAUGAAUCUCUCCGGUUGAGUGGAAGAGUCACUGAUAUUUGCUUCCCAAGUCUUAAUGAGCCCCCGAUUCAGACGUCCAUGUGUCACAUGAAGCCCGGGCGCCCUCAUUGCAGUUCUUGGUGUGCAUGAGGAUCAUCUGUUGGUCUUACUAAAAGAUAGUGUGACAUGUGUGGUUCAAUAUCAAUAAUUGCUCAUUUGUGUUGACAAAUUUUCAUUGAGAGAGUAAAAGGUUGGGGGUGUAUUCCUGGGAUAAAUUCUGCUUCUGUGUUUUCUUCGACGGGAAAUAGUUGAAUGACAAGUCUUGUUGAACUGAACACGAAAACACUUAUAAUAAGAGAAAUAAUCACCUAAGCAACGUAUCUGAACAAAAAAGAAUGAGGGCGAUAUCCAGAAUACGCAUUUUUCUCAAGCCCUAAAUGUGCAUAAGAGUUUUGACUUUGCGCGUGGUGUUGAGUUUAGUCCCAUGUCUCCCAUAGCCAAGAUGAUUUCUGAUCUAAAUGAGACUUUUUUUCCAUGACCUUCUCUGACUUAGAUAUUCCCGCCAAACAAAAGAGACGGAUUGAGACCGAGACAGAGACAAAAAUAAACUUAAGUUAGUUCUGGGUAAAAAGAACUCCAAGUCCUGGAAAGUCGAUAAGGUUGCGUAACUCAAUUUCCUCCGAGUCCAAGAGUAUCGUGAAGAUAAUGGAUUUCUUGUCAGGGGAACCAGGCCCCAGCUUGGUGUGAGGGGCCACUCACACACAUACAUGCUACACCGUAACACACCAUUUAUGUACUGAGGACUGCUCAAAUGUUGACACAGUAAAAGGAUUACAAUUAUUUUUAUGAAAAAAAUAAACAGGGAAGCGGGAGGGAUACCAGGCAGAGAUAAAAUGAAUUGGGAGGAAAGGAGGAAAUUAAACAGCCAGAAGAAGGGUUGAGAAGAGUGACAGAGAGUGUGAAAGAGAAGAAAAAUGAGCAAAGACAGGAAAAAAGGAGUAAAGGAAAGUCACAUAUGGAGGCAAAUAAAUGUCAAAUAAUAUGUUUAAAUGACAUAUUUAGUAACUGGGAGGGAGGAGAGAACGUUGAAGAGGCAGUAAAACUAUUCUAAGAAAGUAAAUAACUAUAUGAAAGUUUUAAAUAGUUUGAUAAUCUUGCUUGAGGAUGCCGCGGCACGAAUGCAUGCUGAUGGAAAGAGAGAGAGAAAUAAGAGGAGGACUGAACAAAGUGAGACAAGACGGAGAUAGGAGGCAAGCAUCGAUGGAGACUUUCACUGGAGGAUUGAGAUGGACCCUGAGGGACAUCUCGAGGGACCAAGAAUGAUCAGAGAGAAGCGCUGACAGGUGGUCGGCAAUUUCACUUUUUACACAGAUUUCCCGAGGGGGGGGGGGGGGGGGGAGUUCUACAGUAACGAUGAUUUCCCUUAGAAGUUUGCGCCCGCUGAUGAAAAAAUGUGGGAACCACCAGCGGCCUCGACGGGCUUCAUUUGCAUUGUUGCAACGGCUUGCGUCUUUGCUGGCAAUCAGGGAUUGGAGAGACUUUCCUCCCGAGGAAAAGACGGCAUCGGUCACUUCAGCAAACCCCGGGCAUUACGGCGCUGAUGUAACAGCCGCCUCACUUCUGGGGGACUGCUGCUCUGUCACACGACAACAAGAUCAUUGGGUGCAUUGAAACAUUUUGGAUCGGGUCGAUCGGGUCCGGACUCAGUGAGGUCCAUGCAGUGAACCCCAGAAUUGUUUUCCUGAAACCAGAAAGGGGCCCUCUAGCUUUAGAUAUUGUUACGUGUUGUACAUGGAGGAAUAAGACGGUUAUUUGGGCCCAAACCAACCCAUGAAAAACCAAAAGUGCACAGGGGUAUGUUUGGUCAUUUAAUGUCAUGUAUUUAAUAAUAUUAGUUUCCACCACCUCCCAGGGAGCAAUUACUAUGAUAUUUGGAUUUUGGGAUAUUUGGAGUUUUUUCAUUAAGUACAGAAUCUAUCAUACCCAAACGAUUAGAGUAAGUGUACAAUUUAAUAAAUGUGAAAUAUGUAUAAAAUGUUUGAGUUAGUGCAUGUCACUGUUUUCCUAAAAUAAAUAAAAACAUCCUGUAAGAAGUAAGAGUUAAGACAAUUAAGAGUUAAUAACGGCUUACCUCGAGGUGAUGUUGUUGCCGUAGUGAUGAAUCAAUUACAUCUCUAUAUAAACACACAAAUACAGCAGCACAGAACACAUUUAAGUCCAUGCUCAGCUUGGUUUUUUCCAAUGGUACACUUCUCUUUUGCACAUCCUUUGCCUCAGUCUGCGACUUGAUGCGCGUGGUGAGCAGCAAACUACCUCAUGCUGUACAGUACAUCAGCAGCUGGACCAUGUGUGUCAUCCAUACGGGAAUAAGGGAGAAAGAGAGACGGAGCCGAAAGAAAGGGGUGAGAGGCUCUUCACUUUCAUACGGGAGCUGUUAGAUGCUGCUUGUUCAUGUCUACCAAUAAAAUCACUGCAUGUUCAGAGGGCAAAGAUUACGCAUGCACACGAGACACACAGAGAAACACUCGAGUAAUGUUUAUAUAACUGUGAUUUUUCAGAGGUUCAGCUGCACCUAACCAGUUCAAAACUGCACCAUGCGGAAACUCAAACACCACUGCUCCCUUUGGAUGCACAUGAAUUACCCGUUUUUUCCACCACACAGAGUUCAUGUGAAAACUCAUGUUGAAAUUAGUCAAUACAUUUUUUUUAAAGUAUUUACAGAAAGUAAUUUCAUAAACCAUUUAAGUCAUUUUUAAAGACAUGUUGCUGGUCACAAAGGAUCCCUGUGCUAAACUGUUAUGUUCACUUCACCACUGUUGUCUUAUUUCAUGCUCAACAUUUUCACUCAAUAAAAGGACAUUGAAGAAGAAAAAACAGAAAGUGGCCACUUAGCAAACUCUUUAUCUCCUCGCUAAUGGGGCAAUUAGUUAACACAGUUAAAACGCCACUUUUGUAUAAUAUAUUUAUGUCUCAUGACUGUUUAAAACCCAUUACUCUGUUGUGGAAUAGUUUUUACGCUGACAGAAGACAGUAAAUAAAUGUUCAUGAUGCAAUGCUGCUAAUAAGCUACGACUCGAGUCUCCUCAAAAAGGUCAGUGCUGUCAAGACAGAUUAAUGUUAGUCGUUGGUGCCAGUAUGGUUGUAAAAGUUCACCAGAUGUGAACUAUACAAAGAACAUGUGGAUGGAUUUUUUUUUGCCUCUGAUCGUUGCCUUUCCAUGGAAAAAUAAUUAUUUUGCCAAUUGAUUGGUGUUGUCUAUCUUUUAAAAUUAUCGUCAGGAGAAAGAGAUCCUUUGAGUCACCUUAGACCUUUUUUCAAUGAAUAAAAAGGUCAAUAGAUUAAUGAAUAAUGGAAAAAUGUAUCAUGACUGAGAUGAAGUUCCAAAAUGAACAAAAGUUUUAUUAGAUCAUUGCCUAUCGUCUGGGAUGGAACAAGUGACUUUCUCCUAAACACGCAAGCCCAAAAUUCCAAAAGAGUAAGUGAGCGUCUCAGGAGGUAAACUAAGGGGAGUUCAUUGUCUUGAAGUAUCAGCUGGACUUUGCUGAUGCCCAAAAAAGUUACAACCUAUAAAGAUCAAGAUGUAACUGCAGUUCGACCUUCACUCUACAUCCUGUCGUUGCAUUGAGUGUUUUGGCAGACUGGGCAAGAGCCUUGUCGCCUGUGAUGGAAAGGUCUUCCAGGGAGAAAAACAGCUUGCAGUGUCAUCCAGCUCAAGCUUUCCACGGUGGGCAGAUUUCCAGCUGCAGAUAUAAAAGAGUUCAGAGAGAAAAGUGGGUUUUAAAAAAAGCGUCAAGAGUCACAGCGAUGCCGGCAGCAGGUGUUGUGCAACGCGGUCAAAGAUGGCGGAACCUUCCCUCACGAGGGUGCAGCGCAAAACAAAUGGCAAGUCGGAGCGCAAACUAUUUGGCAGAUCUCCACGUCCCGAGGCCAGCGCAGGUGGAAAAGAGCAGCUGCUUGUUCGACAUUUCAAAGGGAAUAAGGACGGAGAGGAAAAGGGGUGACGUGUAAAGACCGAGAGACGUGCUUUGGAGGAGGGGAAUGAAAUACAUUUAUGUUCCUUUAGUUUUUCACACCACACGGGGGACCGAUAGAGUGAUUGUAGCUGAUUGAAAGCAGCUCGUAUACAGCCAGGCGUAAGGUAAAGGAGUACUUGACGACGGUAGGCACCAAGGGGGGGAUGCUGAUUGAAUGUAAUGGUCAGGAAAGUCUGCGAUGAAAAGACUAAAUGGCAGAAGUAAAAUGAAAUGAACGUCGUUGUGGGGAGUUGUAGAUAUGUACCACAGGUGUCCUAUCAAGGUCAUUAACAAGGAGACGUCAUCCCGUUUGAUGUCAUGUUAUAGAGUGAAAGAGAGAAGCUGCAGUGUAUUCGAGAGAAGGAGGACAUCUCAACAGCCUGCAGCUCCAAAACUAAGCAAAUCGACGCCAAAACAGGUCGAUGAACAAUAAAAGUGAGAGGGAAAACAUGUACAUACAAUCUCGGGGGGGAAUGGUCUUUCUACCCAAACCCCCUUUAUAUGGUUCUCCUCUUGUUUACACACAUUGCACCCUUAUUCACAAACAUGCUAAGUUACCAGUAACAUCUAUAGUCCUUGUGUUGUUUUCUCGCUUGUUCCCUCUAUGGCUCCCUUUCUUUCCUUCCUUGUCUACCGCUCUUGUUGUUGGUGUUUUUUUAUCUCUUUCCAAUAAAUCCAAUUUCUCCUCUUGAGCUUCUGUUCCAUCUUCUCUGAGUGAUUUAGGUUCAAACACAGCGUCUCUGCUCCCUGCGGGCCCUUUACAGAAUCAUGUUAGUGACAUUACUGAGCAAGGCCACAUAGGGAUGAUGUUAGUGGAAUGGUUUGGAGUGAAUAAAGAGCAUGUGUGUGUGUGUGUGUGUGUGUGUACAGGGGGGCUGCGCUGUCUGAAUGGAUGUCUGUGUGUUUCAUUAUUUCCAUGUGAAGACAAAUAUCCAGCACCAACAUUGUCACGACUGGGGUUUUUCCAGCAGACCAAGUAGGAACUAAAGAUGAAAAAAAAGACAGGCCGCUUGCCAAAAAGCGGCCGUGUAAAAGGAAGGUGGAUGGUUCAUAAGAAAGGAACUUUGAGUUCCACUUAGCGUGGUGACGGCUGUGAAAGUACUAUUACUGAGGUUAAUUAAGCUCAAAGUGUUCCAGUUGUGCCACACAAUGGCCAGAGGUAAAUUACUUUGGCUCUAUAGGCCAAGUCCCAAGUGUCUGUGGAAAAGGUUGCUUUUAAGGAAAUUAUAGGCAAUAUAAAAUUUGCAAGAUGUGCAUUCACAAUAUACAUCCACACAUUGAAAUUAUGGAUGGAUGCAUAUCUUAAUAUCGGCAUGGGUCCGGUAAAUCCCCUCUUAGUCCGCCUCUAAUACAGUAGAUUUAAAAGUGCAACUCAGAACAAAUCAGCUCUCCCUCCCAACCGAAACGUGGCCAUGUAGAAAUUACACAGAAAAUACCGGCUCCAUCAUAUCGCAGCCAUGAGAGAAAGAACCAUCAAUUAGAGCCCGAUGACAGCUGAGUAAUGUACACUGCAGCUCGCCCUCGGGCUCUGAAUGCGCAGUAUGUGAGAGCAUGCUCCUCCUCUGUGUGCUUACUCCCCUGUGUGUGUGUGUGUGUGUGUGUGUGUGUGUGUGUGUGUGUGUGUGUGUGUGUGUGUGUGUGUGUGUGUGUGUGUGUGUGAGCGCACAGGUCUACUACCGCUCAGCCCCACAGCCACUGGCAGGUAAUGAGAGCUUUAUGUGUUUUCAUUACUUUGUGCCAGACCACAGAAUCACUCUGAGGUCUGUUGGCAGAGACAGAGGCUGGAGGAAGGCAGUCAAAUCAGAUUAAGGGGCUGAGAUAUAUGGUACCACAGGUGAGCAGGUGUACUGACUCAACUAACAAAGGCCGACUCGCGGGAGCAGCACACACAAACACUCACACGCCGGCAUCACUACAGCUCUGUGUGUAUACAAACACAAACACAGCACGUGCAGCACAGGCAACGUCUGAUGUGCUGAAGAAUUUACAUGGAACUGUUUUCAUUCAACACAUUCAAAAGAAUGAAAUCUGUUGAUUAAUCCAAAAAUCCCAUAUUUUCUGUCUUUCUGUCAACGCCCAACAGAAUUGUUGCCAUGACUACAGCAGUGUUAUUUAGGCUAAGUGGGUUGUGUUUGAGAUAACGAAAGCCUUAGCGCUAAUUCGUAAUUUUAGA
Molecule: long non-coding RNA, 8840 nt
Organism: Gasterosteus aculeatus aculeatus (three-spined stickleback)
Lineage: Eukaryota; Metazoa; Chordata; Actinopteri; Perciformes; Gasterosteidae
Source: Ensembl